UGUCAUUUUACUAAUAGUAAAAAUAAGUCGUUUUUAGUUACAUAUAUAAAAUGACAAAAUAAGAAAAUCAGUAUAUACACUGAAAAAAGGGUUUGGUAUUGACAACCAAAUGUUUGGUUGGUAUUUAAGGGGGGAACACCAGUUGUAACUUUCGAAAAAUCAAUUUUUUUUUUUGUGCAUUUUCUUAAAGUACACAUAUUUAGAAAUGUGUCUGUAAAUUUCAAAGUUGAUCCGGUGAAAAAUAAAUGAGAUAUACAGAACACUGCAUCGGCGCGUCCCGUGGCUUCAUACAAGGUGGCCAGCCAUAACUGACCCUAACGACAGAUGGCCUUUUCCUAUGAUUUAGAAACGGCAACCACUGCGGAAGAGUUAUUAUAUGGUCCAAGAAUCGAUGACUCUUUGUAACUUGGAAACAAAAUUUCUUCUGAACAAAAAAAAACGAAGUAUACUUGCAGAAUGCUGGUCACCGCAAUUCGCCUUUUUUCUUAAGACGCCACUUCAAUGGCUCAUAUCUCCAAAAGUUUUUGUUAAAAAAAUUUUUUUUUUCUUUUAAAUUACAGCUUUUUACAUGUACUUUUAACUAAUAAAUAGUAUUCUUUAAAAAGA
Leptopilina boulardi is the source of this 606-nucleotide long non-coding RNA. RefSeq lists it as uncharacterized. NCBI's taxonomy places the organism in Eukaryota, Metazoa, Arthropoda, Insecta, Hymenoptera, Figitidae. The record is from RefSeq and is a predicted model, not a curated record. The transcript is spliced from 2 exons.